AUGAACAAUAGGAUUUGGACAGCAGACCGGCUUCAGCGCAGGUGCUGGCCCAACAGUAACCUUUGCCCGCUAUGCAAACAAACGCCACAAUCAACAUCUCACCUUCUCUUCCAAUGUCGUUACAUGGUUAGAGUUUGGGGAAUGAUCAAAACGUGGCUCGGUUUACAUGAUGUCCAUCCUACAGAUUAGGGAGGUAUGGUUUCUGUCAAGGAGUGGUGGCGCAACAUAGCUUCUGGGAGGUCACAAUCUCGAAGGGUGCUUCUUUCCCUUAUACUUAUUAUCUCUUGGAAAAUUUGGAAAGAGCGAAAUGCACGUGUGUUCCACAACACAUCAAUUCUGGUCGGUGUGCUUGUGACUCGUGUCAAAGCGGAAACUUCGCUGUGGAGCCUUGCUGAGGCGAAAUAUUUGUGUAAUAUAAUGCCGCGAGAGUGA
RNAcentral lists this ribosomal RNA (432 nucleotides) under Triticum aestivum (bread wheat). RNAcentral describes it as "partial small subunit ribosomal RNA". Lineage: Eukaryota; Viridiplantae; Streptophyta; Magnoliopsida; Poales; Poaceae. The record is from RNAcentral.